This 248-nucleotide unclassified non-coding RNA is filed under the name Hevea brasiliensis (rubber tree). The record is from RNAcentral. Lineage: Eukaryota; Viridiplantae; Streptophyta; Magnoliopsida; Malpighiales; Euphorbiaceae.
GAUUGGGUCACCCAAGAGGUCGGUGAAGAGAGAGAGCUUCCCACUGGGACCAACCUCACAUCUUCUCUCCACUUCCUCAACACCCAAUCGAUCUCUGCUCGGAUCAAACUCUCUCACAACUAUCAUUCUUUCUUCCCCCAUAUUAAUAACACCCAACCACUUAAUUCACAACAGUCAAGCUUCUUCGCUUCUUGGUGCAGAAAAGGGUUAUACGUGUAUUUAUAGAGAUAGAAGGAGCUGGAGGUCGU